RNAcentral lists this non-coding RNA (92 nucleotides) under Erythrobacter litoralis. RNAcentral describes it as "Glycine sequence". It matches the Rfam family "Glycine riboswitch aptamer". Rfam says of the family: This family represents the bacterial glycine riboswitch. Glycine riboswitches usually consist of two metabolite-binding aptamers domains with similar structures in tandem. RNAcentral also lists the same sequence under 1 other name. Lineage: Bacteria; Pseudomonadati; Pseudomonadota; Alphaproteobacteria; Sphingomonadales; Erythrobacteraceae. The record is from RNAcentral.
GACGGACCAGCGGGAGAGUUCGCGCUUCGCGGCGCGACGCCGAAGGAGCAACCGCCCCGGAAUCUCUCAGGCCCACGGACCGCUGGACCGGC